CCUGACUGCUAUGGGGAUUGGAUUAAGCUAUGCGAGUGGAGCGGACUUGGCUAUGAAAGUCCGCCGCAUACGGCUCAGUAACGCGUAGUCAACUUACCCUUCGGAUGAGAAUACCCCCGGGAAACUGGGGUUAAAUCUCAAUAAGUAUCCAAGGCUGGAACGCAUGGAUACACAAACAGGGCACUAUCAUGCUUGUGUCACUGCCGAAGGAUAGGACUGCGUCCUAUCAGCUUGUAGGUAGUGUAAAGGACUACCUAGGCGAUAACGGGUACCGGCGAUGUAAGUCGGAGCCGGGAGAAGGACACUUAGACAAGGGUCCUGGCACUACGGUGCGCAGCAAGCGCGAAACCUCUUCAAUACGCGAAAGCGUGAAAGGGCAAUCCCCAGUGCCUACCUAUAAAGUGGGCUUUUCAAUACUGUAAGUAAGUGUUGGAAUAAGGCGAGGGCAAGGCUGGUGCCAGCCGCCGCGGUAAAACCAGCUCGUCAAGUGGUUAGGAUGAUUAUUGAGGCUAAAGCGUCCGUAGAUGUUCUAGCAAACCCCUGGUUAAAUCCACCUGCUCAACAGGUGGGCCGCUAGGGGGACUACUAGAAUCGGAGACGGGAGAGGUAGAGGGUACUACGCGGGAAGGGGUGGAAUCCUAUAAUCCGCGUGGGACCACCAGUGGCGAAGGCGCUCUACUAGAACGUGCUCGACAUUGAGGGACGAAACCUGAGGGAGAGAACCGGAUUAGAUACCCGGGUAUUCUCAGGCGUAAACGAUGCCGGUUAGGUGUUGACUCGACCAAGAGUCGAGUCAGUGCCGUAGCGAAGGCGUUAAACCGGCCCCUUGGGAAGUACGGCCGCAAGGCUGAAAC
This 854-nucleotide ribosomal RNA is filed under the name uncultured archaeon. RNAcentral's name for it is "bacterial SSU rRNA". It matches the Rfam family "Archaeal small subunit ribosomal RNA", at positions 21 to 855 of the family's 1478-position model. The record is from RNAcentral.